This 470-nucleotide ribosomal RNA is filed under the name uncultured bacterium. Its description in RNAcentral is "bacterial SSU rRNA". It matches the Rfam family "Bacterial small subunit ribosomal RNA", at positions 28 to 479 of the family's 1533-position model. The record is from RNAcentral.
GAUGAACGCUAGCUACAGGCUUAACACAUGCAAGUCGAGGGGCAGCAUUAUCGAAGCUUGCUUUGAUAGAUGGCGACCGGCGCACGGGUGAGUAACGCGUAUCCAACCUUCCCCAUAGUCAGGAAUAGCCCGGCGAAAGUCGAAUUAAUGCCUGAUGUUUUCCACGGACGGCAUCUGAUGUGGAACAAAGAUUCAUCGCUAUGGGAUGGGGAUGCGUCUGAUUAGCUUGUUGGCGGGGUAACGGCCCACCAAGGCAACGAUCAGUAGGGGGUUCUGAGAGGAAGGUCCCCCCANAUUGGAACUGAGACACGGUCCAAAACUCCUACGGGAGGCAGCAGUUGAGGAAUAUUGGGUCCAAUGGGCGAAGCCUGAACCAGCCAAGUAGCGUGAGGGAUGACUGCCCUAUGGGUUGUAAAACCUCUUUUUAUAAGGGGAUAAAAAUACGGGACGUGUCCUGUUUUGCAUGUACC